Molecule: long non-coding RNA, 284 nt
Organism: Hippocampus comes (tiger tail seahorse)
Lineage: Eukaryota; Metazoa; Chordata; Actinopteri; Syngnathiformes; Syngnathidae
Exons: 2
Source: RefSeq, a predicted model, not a curated record
CUCUAACUCUCUUGGUUGAAUCAUUCAGGUGGACACCCAGCUUCGGAGCUCCAAUCGUAGGCUAGAUAACCUUCACGCCCAGCUCCAAGAACUGGACGCUCACAUUGUAGUGAAAGGAGGAGAUGAGAGUAAAGAUGAAUGUCCUCAAUCUCCUGGGGCGGAGAGCAGAACUUCAGCCCACAAGGAGCGCAUUGCUGCCCUGGAGAGGCAGCUCAACAUUGAGCUCAAAGUCAAGCAAGGAGUUGAGAACAUGAUCCCCAUCUACGCCAAUGGCUCCACCAAGG